RNAcentral lists this transfer-messenger RNA (357 nucleotides) under Trueperaceae. RNAcentral's name for it is "JAAYYF01 sp023954415 Standard tmRNA". It matches the Rfam family "transfer-messenger RNA". From Rfam's summary of the family: Bacterial tmRNA, also known as 10Sa RNA or SsrA, is named for its dual tRNA and mRNA-like properties. Its role is to liberate the mRNA from a stalled ribosome. To accomplish this part of the tmRNA is used as a reading frame that ends in a translation stop signal. RNAcentral also lists the same sequence under 1 other name. The record is from RNAcentral. Lineage: Bacteria; Thermotogati; Deinococcota; Deinococci; Trueperales.
GGGGGCGACACGGUUUCGACGGGGCUCGUCCAAGGGUGAGGUUGCGCGUCGCGGAGGCAGCUGGCCGCGUCAACAAGCUGCCACGCCAUUAACUGGCAACAAUAACUACGCUCUGGCUGCUUAAUCGCAGUUAGCGUUCCCCGGAAGCCCCGCCCAUGGCUCGCCGGACCGAACGUCCUGAAGUGGGCUGGCCCUAGGGUUCGGACGUUGGCCCGAAGGCGAGACUUAUGACGUCUAAGCGCUGAGCAGCGCCGGCCGAAGAGCCAGCCCAGCGCCGACAACCGAUCCUCGGCUACACGCGUAGACGCCCACCUGAGGGGGUUCCGGACGCGGGUUCGACUCCCGCCGCCUCCACCA